This 1139-nucleotide unclassified non-coding RNA is filed under the name Hevea brasiliensis (rubber tree). Lineage: Eukaryota; Viridiplantae; Streptophyta; Magnoliopsida; Malpighiales; Euphorbiaceae. The record is from RNAcentral.
UGCAAUGUCAAAAAUUAUCACUCUCGCCCUCGUUUCAAAUUUGAUACCAGGAUCUUUGAUGAGAGAAACUGGCUGCAUUAGCACCUGCACUUAUAAGUAUUAAUUACCUGAUUUUUAUCUUUUAUUCAUCAUGGUUCACUGCCAAAGAAAGAACUUAGUUGAUAACACAAUAUCUUAAACAAAAAUGUACCUGAUAAGUAGUUGGUUUUGCUCUAUUGUCAAAAUAGCAAUAAGUGAUUGGAACAAUGACUAGAACCUAAUAGACAGCUUACAUCUUUAGAUACCAACUCAUCAAGGUUUUUUUUUUAAGCAUAAAAAUUGGAAAUGAUUCGACUAUUUUUUUUUUUUCUUUAUAUCAAUAUGUUUCCAAAAGAGUUGCCUGAGAACAAGUGCAGAUUGUUCUUGUUAUUUGUUAUAUUGAUAACCAUAUAUCCUUUCUUUUCCUUGCAAUAUAUAGGGCUGUUCAACAAUUCUGGAAUCAGGAAUCUGACGUCAUAGAUAGUUUCUUUCACUGGAAAAGAGAACUUGAAUUUACAGUAAUGUAAAAUUCGCGUGCAUUUAAAAGUAAGCAACUAGCGUCUAGAGGUAAUAAACGUUGACCCACCUAAAAACUCAAGCCCAACCUGUCCAAAAGAUUGGGUUAAAGCCUCAUCCUAACUCACUGUAAUGCUUUUAAAUUUUGUUCUCUUAUGCUCCUUUUCCUCAUUUAAUUUCUCGAAUUCACAAACUACCAAAUGAAAAUUUGAAAAGACAAACAACGUAUCACAAAAUCUUUACCAGUAAUCAUCCAUUGACUAACAUCAACGUGGAUGUAUAUGACAUGAAUGUAUAUAUGCAGUAGCAGCAGCAUAUAUAGACAUCGUAUAACCCUGCUAAGACGCUGCUUCCAUCUAGUAUUAAAAUGGUGUACCAUAAUUAUUAACCAUUGUGAAUUAUAAGAGAUACGAGACCAAAAAAAUAAAAAUAGAAUUGUAUUCAGCCUCAACUUUCUUUUUUUAAGUUCAGCACUUAAAUUACCACUUGUUUCUUCACUUUCAAAGCUUCGGUUUCCAUGUGCAUUUCCAAAGCUCUGAUUUCCAUGUGGAGGCAAUAGUGCAGCAGGUGAUGUAAUCAAUUCUUCUUGAAAUCCAUGGGCUCUU